UCGAGGAUAGUCUACAAUGGUCGAAAGAUUGAUAGUGCGACGCCGCGUGAACGAAGAAGCAUUUCGGUGUGUAAAGUUCUUUUCCAUGGGAGCAGGGGCCUGGUGGUUAACAGCGACCGGGUCUUGAUAUUACUAUGGGAAUAAGCCACGGCUAACUCCGUGCCAGCAGCCGCGGUAAUACGGGGGUGGCGAGCGUUGUCCGGAAUUACUAGGCGUAAAGGGCAGGUAGGCGGUUUUAUAAGUUAAUCGUUAAAGACCCGUGCUCACCAUGGGGAGGGCGGUUGAUACUGUAAGACUGGAAGCGAGUGGGGGAAGACGGAAUUCCUGGUGUAGCGGUGGAAUGCGCAGAUAUCAGGAGGAACACCGAAGGCGAAGGCAGUCUUCUACGCUUGUCUUGACGCUAAACUGCGAAGGUGCGGGUAUCAAACAGG
Molecule: ribosomal RNA, 431 nt
Filed under: uncultured Spirochaetota bacterium
Lineage: Bacteria; Pseudomonadati; Spirochaetota
Description: bacterial SSU rRNA
Rfam family: Bacterial small subunit ribosomal RNA
Source: RNAcentral